CUUCCCACUUCUUCAUCUCACUAUUUAAUCUUCCCACAGUAUCCUCUUCCUUCUUUCCUCCACUGAAACAAAACCAUUUAUCCAUAUCUGAUCUUAGAUCCAACUCCUGCACCAGUAUUGAUGACGAUGAUGAGCGUUUCUGAAUCCAAUUGGGCAACACCGGCACCUUUCCAGACCAUCAAUCAAAAAGACGCCCCUACUUAUAUGAAUCCAUUAACUUCAGAAGAUAAUGGGUCUGAAAUGGAAGAAGUAUCUUGGAGAGCAAGCUUGGAGUCCUGAAACUCCAAAAGGACUAGCUUGGACAACAAAAAAUAAUGAAGAAUGAAAAUUGACAUUUGACCAAUCCAGAAUCCAUGGUUGAGUGAGUUUACACUCAAAAUGAAAAUGCUGCCUUUUGUAUUUUUAGGCCUAACUUGCAAAUAUAUUUUGAUUUCCCCUCUCCUUUUGUAUCAUCAUUGUAUCAGCUGGAGUUUUUGUAUGGUCGUAUGGAGGGAGAAAGAGCUCUUGAGUGUUCAUCUAUUAUUCAUCCAUGUCUCACAUUUUCAUGUGUAAACCUAACUGCUCACCUCUAGGAGUGGCUGAUUUCCAUUUUUGUAUGAGAUAGAUGUACCCAGUUCUAAACUUA
This is a long non-coding RNA of Glycine soja, 625 nucleotides long. RefSeq lists it as uncharacterized. The record is from RefSeq and is a predicted model, not a curated record. Lineage: Eukaryota; Viridiplantae; Streptophyta; Magnoliopsida; Fabales; Fabaceae. The transcript has 2 exons.